RNAcentral lists this ribosomal RNA (479 nucleotides) under uncultured bacterium. RNAcentral describes it as "partial 16S ribosomal RNA". It matches the Rfam family "Bacterial small subunit ribosomal RNA", at positions 28 to 507 of the family's 1533-position model. The record is from RNAcentral.
GACGAACGCUGGCGGCGUGCUUAACACAUGCAAGUCGAACGAUGAAGAAAAGAAUUGAAGCUUCGGCAGAAAUUCAUUUCGGAUUAGUGGCAGACGGGUGAGUAACGCGUGAGCAACCACCUCUUACAAAGGGAUAGCCUCGGGAAACCGGGAUUAAUACCAUAUAACAUUGCGACGAAGCAUUUCGAUGCAAUCAAAGCUACGGCGGUAAGAGAUGGGCUCGCGUCCCAUUAACCAGAUGGUGAGGUAACGGCUCACCAUAGUAACGAUGGGUAACCGGCCUGAGAGGGUGAACGGUCACACUGGAACUGAGACACGGUCCAGACUCCUACGGGAGGCAGCAGUGGGGAAUAUUGCACAAUGGAGGGAACUCUGAUGCAGCGACGCCGCGUGAGUGAUGAAGGAAUUCGUUUCGUAAAACUCUGUUCUAUGGGAAGAAAAGGACUGUACCAUAGGAGAAAGCUCCGGCUAAAUACGUG